GCGGUUGUGGCGGAACGGCAGACGCGUCAGCUUGAGGGGCUGGUGAGAGCAAUCUCGUGUGGGUUCAAGUCCCACCAACCGCACCA
This 86-nucleotide transfer RNA is filed under the name Acidaminococcus intestini. Its description in RNAcentral is "tRNA-Leu". It matches the Rfam family "tRNA". Rfam says of the family: Transfer RNA (tRNA) molecules are approximately 80 nucleotides in length. Their secondary structure includes four short double-helical elements and three loops (D, anti-codon, and T loops). Further hydrogen bonds mediate the characteristic L-shaped molecular structure. tRNAs have two regions of fundamental functional importance: the anti-codon, which is responsible for specific mRNA codon recognition, and the 3' end, to which the tRNAs corresponding amino acid is attached (by aminoacyl-tRNA synthetases). tRNAs cope with the degeneracy of the genetic code in two manners: having more than one tRNA (with a specific anti-codon) for a particular amino acid; and 'wobble' base-pairing, i.e. permitting non-standard base-pairing at the 3rd anti-codon position. RNAcentral also lists the same sequence under 6 other names. Lineage: Bacteria; Bacillati; Bacillota; Negativicutes; Acidaminococcales; Acidaminococcaceae. The record is from RNAcentral.